ACUGGGCGUGGUAGUACGUGCCUGUAGUCCCAGCUAUUCAGCAGGCUGAGGCUGGAGGAUCUCUUAAGUCCAGGAGUUCUGGGCUGUAGUGUGCUAUGCUGAUUGGGUGUCCGCACUAAGUUUGGCAUCAAUAUGGUGACCUCCCGGAAGCGGGGGACCACCAGGUUGCCUAAGGGGGGUGAACUGGCCCAGGUUGGAAACGGAGCAGGUGAAAACUCCUGCGCUGAUCGGAGGUUGCAGUAAGCUGAGAUUGUACCACUGCACUCCAGCUUGGGAGACAAAGCAAGACCCUGUCUCA
This 298-nucleotide signal recognition particle RNA is filed under the name Saimiri boliviensis boliviensis (Bolivian squirrel monkey). RNAcentral describes it as "Metazoan signal recognition particle RNA (ENSSBOG00000002815.1)". It matches the Rfam family "Metazoan signal recognition particle RNA". From Rfam's summary of the family: The signal recognition particle (SRP) is a universally conserved ribonucleoprotein. The record is from RNAcentral. Lineage: Eukaryota; Metazoa; Chordata; Mammalia; Primates; Cebidae.